This 76-nucleotide transfer RNA is filed under the name Nitrospira sp. RNAcentral describes it as "tRNA-Lys". It matches the Rfam family "tRNA". Rfam says of the family: Transfer RNA (tRNA) molecules are approximately 80 nucleotides in length. Their secondary structure includes four short double-helical elements and three loops (D, anti-codon, and T loops). The record is from RNAcentral. RNAcentral also lists the same sequence under 8 other names. Lineage: Bacteria; Pseudomonadati; Nitrospirota; Nitrospiria; Nitrospirales; Nitrospiraceae.
GGGCCGUUAGCUCAGUUGGUAGAGCAUCUGACUUUUAAUCAGGUGGUCGCAGGUUCGAUUCCUGCACGGCCCACCA